GGAUCGAUGCGUUCUCUUGUUUUAUCAAGGCAUGUGAACCUACCUUUGUUGCCUCGGCAGGUCUGCAACCUACCCUGAGAGUCCCUACCCUGUAGGGACCUUACCCGGUAGUUGCGGGCAUAACCUGCCGGUGGUCUACCAAACUCUGUUUACUAUGUUAUUCUGAAUAAUAUAACUAAAUAAGUUAAAACUUUCAACAACGGAUCUCUUGGUUCUGGCAUCGAUGAAGAACGCAGCGAAAUGCGAUAAGUAAUGUGAAUUGCAGAAUUCAGUGAAUCAUCGAAUCUUUGAACGCACAUUGCGCCCAUUAGUAUUCUAGUGGGCAUGCCUGUUCGAGCGUCAUUUCAACCCUUAAGCCCUGUUGCUUAGCGUUGGGAGCCUACAGAUACACUCUGUAGUUCCUUAAAGUUAGUGGCGGAGUCGGUUUCACACUCUAGACGUAGUAAAUUUUAUCUCGCCUAUAGAUGAGCCGGUCCCUUGCCGUAAAACCCCCUAAUUUCUAAAGGUUGACCUCGGAUCAGGUAGGAAUACCCGCUGAACUUAAGCAUAUCAAUAAGCGGGAGGAAAAA
RNAcentral lists this ribosomal RNA (569 nucleotides) under fungal endophyte. Its description in RNAcentral is "eukaryotic LSU rRNA". The stretch from base 189 to 342 matches the Rfam family "5.8S ribosomal RNA". The record is from RNAcentral. Lineage: Eukaryota; Fungi.